Molecule: non-coding RNA, 10473 nt
Organism: Rattus norvegicus (Norway rat)
Lineage: Eukaryota; Metazoa; Chordata; Mammalia; Rodentia; Muridae
Source: RefSeq, a predicted model, not a curated record
UGGAAACAAAGCUGCAAUAUAGACUCUGGUCAAGAAUGUGGGCACAAAGACAAAGUGUGACGUUGUAAACAAGUGCGAGCUCUUUGUUCCUUCAUGAGGACAAGAACUGUGGAACUCAAGCUCAACAGCAUGCAGUGGGCUGCCCAAGUGUCCCAAUCGAUAGGUGCCAAGUGACUACAGAAGGACAGAGAAAGGCAGCAUCAGAGGCAAGAAAACCACAAGCAGCCUCGGGAGUCACAGGGCCGAGCCCAUCCCUCGACCCUGUUGAUGACUGAGCUGGCUUGGUCAGAUGCCACUUUCAACUCUGGAGCUUGAAUCCGAUGGAUACAGUGAAGAACACCGCAGCAAAAGGAAGCACAUGCAAAGGAAAAUUUGGGCCAGCAGUAAAUAACCCUUGUAAAAAGGGACAAGGUAAUGCAGAAUGCCUUUUGUGUAUGUGUUUAGUUAUGUUAAAAUCUAGAGAAGCGAAGAUAAUUCUCAUAGAUGAUUUUAGUCUUUAAACCUUGAUUAGAGAUAGUUUAGACCCUAGACACAAGAGGGAGAAUUUGAGAAAAGCAGUCCUCCACACUGCUUUUAGAGAAAGAGAAGGAAAAGGAAUGUAAGCUGUUCCAGAGCUCUCCUAGGGACAGGAGGAGGUCGGGAUACGUCCUUCUCUCUGGCUACCAAUGGGGCAAUGCUUAGUUCUGGUUCUGGGUCCCUUAGGUAGCACAUCUGGUUUUCUCCCCCCUCUGUCUAUUGUCUGUCCUUGGUAUACCAUCUGUCCAUGUCUGUCAGUUGAUGUUUUUGUUUCAUUGCUUGAUUGUUGCUAUGUUUCAUAUCCAAAAGAAAAAUGGUUAAAACUUUACCUGCUAAUCAUUUGCCCCUUGACUUAGUUUUAACUUAUUUAAAAAAAAAAAAAAAAAAAAAAAAAAGCAGUCUCAACUGACAGGACAGAACUGACAAACUACCUUAGGAGCCUGCACCUGUAGCUAGGAGUCCAGCACAGUUGGAGAAGCCCUGCCAGGGCUGGCUGGCUAUACAAGCCAGUCUUAAAGGGGCCAGCAACUUCUUGGCUUCUCUGGAAAGGAAGCUAAUGACUAUUUUUCCUACAAAAAAAAAAUCUCUGUGGCUGAGAUUAUUGGCUUCUUGAAAUUACAGCUAGAAAAAGUUUUGACUAGUCUAAAGACAUAAAAGUGUGUAGCCACUUCAUGUUGGUUUCUGACUAAUCCUAAAUGUAUAAAUAUGUUCUACAUGGAUUGGUUAUAGAUUAUUGGCUGAUAAGUUAUUGGGUAUGAUUAAAAAUUUUAUAAUAUUGGUAAUAGAAAGUUAGCUUAAAACUGGUAACUCAGGGUUGAAGCCAUUCUGGGCAACAACACAUGGCAUGUGCCAACCCAGGGAAAAAGUUCUCUAAAGAUACCUUUAAAUUAGAAUAUAUUUUAUGUAAUUCCUAUCGUAGGAAUCAGACUUAUAAAUAUAGGAUUUGAAAUAAUGUUUCUUUAAUGAUAUAUUAAAAGCUGCACCAUCAUGCAUUCACAUACAAGAACUGGCAGCCAAACUUUGUAACAUGAAAGCAAUGUAUUUAGUACUGAUUUUAGAAAGACUAGAUUGUUUACAUUGUUAAAAAUUGAUUUUGCCGGGUUGGGGAUUAGCUCAGUGGUAGAUAGAGCACUUGCCUAGCAAGCGCAAGGCCCUGGGUUCGGUCCCCAGUUCCGAAAAAAAGAAAAAAGAAAAAAAAAUUGGUUUUGCUUUCCAAAAUUAUGGUUAUGCUCUCAUAUGGCAAAAGAAACUUUUUAAACUGAUAGUUGUGUGUGUGUGUGUGUGUGUGUGUGUGUAGUGGAACAUUGGCAGUUUGCAAUCCAAUCACAAAAGCCUGAUGAAAUAUUUAUUCCUUAUUCCAAACAGCAAGAAAAUUGGUUAUUGCAGAAUACUGCAUUUGACCUAUUGCAUGUGCAAACGUUUUAGACAAAAUGGAUAAUCAUUAACCAGAAGUCGUUCCAAUUUGCCUCUAUGCAUGCUUUUCUCAAAAUAGUAAUAGCUUCAGACAUCUUGAUAUUUUUAGAGAAUGUGCAUGUCAAAUUGUAAAGACUUGUCCUCAAUGUCUUCAAUUUCUUUCUAUACCACAUAACAGUGUUAAUCCUUGAGCACUCGUACCUUAUCAAUUAUGGCAAAUGGAUGUUAUUCAUAUUUCUGAUUUUAGAAAAUUAAAAUAUGUAUAUGAAUAUUGGCACCUUUUCAGGCUUUCUUGUAGCAACUGUUUUAACAGAAGAAGCAACAAAAAAUGUAAUUACCCAUUAUUUGUGUUGUUUCUCUAUGCUGGGUAUACCAAAUCAGAUUAGAACAGAUAAUGGAACUGGCUAUUGAGUCAAACAUUUGAGACAUUUUGUUGAUGAUUUAAUAUUACCCAUAUUACUGGAACUCUUUAUAAUACUCAAGGACAAGGUAGUGUGGAACAAGCCCAUAGAGUCUCCCAAAAAAAAUCAGUUACAUAAAACAAAAAAGGGGGAGUUGUAUACUCCUUCACCACAAUCUUUUAUUUCUGCAAAUUUUUUUUUUUGUUUUGUUGGUGUAGUUUUUAUUUUGUAGGAAGGAUACAGGGGCAAAGUUUGGGUUUGAGGGGACCAAUGCAGAACUGGGGUACAUGAUGUGAAACGCACAUAGAAGCAAAAAAAAAAAAAAAGCGUAAAAAAGCGUAAUUUUAAUUUCUCUCUCUCUCUACUUUUUUUUUUCUUCCGGAGCUGGGGACAGAACCCAGGGCCUCUCACUUGCUAGGCAAGCUCUCUACCGCUGAGCUAAAUCCCCAACCCCUCUCUCUCUACUUUUUUUUUUUUUAUUUAGAGAAUACUUUAUUAGUUUUUGUAAUCAAACCCACGUAUAUAAGACCUUAUAUAUUUAAUACAGUGUGUUACCCCUGUACAAAUGGAAAAAACUUAAGUUCAACAUUUCUAGACCAAUAUGGCUGUUAAUUUCUGUACAGUGCCAACUCAACACAGUAAACGGGGAUACUUUUUUCGAAAGUUGACAGCACAGGUAAAGUUUCAAAAAAUUCAAAUUAUAUAUCUGUAUAUAUAUAUUUAUAUUUAUAUAAAAAGACCAAUAAUAGCAGUGUGUUAUGCAUCAACAGCAGCAACAGCUUUUCCAGGUUCUGCAGUCAUCUGAACAAAACUGUAGAGACAUCCAGCACACUCCAUUAAAAAAAAAAAAAAGUAAAAAAACAAAACCCGAGAAAACAGCACAGUUCUGUUACUCUUGUGGUACAUGGCACCAUUUUUUUUUUAAAUUAGCUUCUCAAUCAUCAUCUGGAAAGAAAACAUUCUGAGCAACAUCAUUAAAAACAGCUCUGAUAAAGCACGGUCACUACUACGUAUCAUAAAGCAGGUACAAGCUAUUUUACAUCCACAGAGGUAUGAUACAGUACUGUCCUACAUCUAUAAUACUAGAGGAUACAAUUUAAAAGGCAUUAUUUGAGACUUGAUUCUACUUUUCCAGCAGAGGGCCCAAAAGAUGGUGUGACACAGCUUUGUAAAGAAACAUACUCUAGACAGGAUUUCCUUUCACUAGUGACACACUUCUAAGGAUUCAUUCUCUCCAUGAAUGUCAGCUAAAACCGUUAUUAAAAAAAUGAAAUAUCCCUAGAACAAAACCGUAUAACCACCAGAUUCACAUGAAGAUGACCUAGUGGAGACAAGCUGGACCUCACCUUACCAACAAGCUAUCAAAUCUGUUAUGUUUAAACAGUGAGACCUCCAAGGAAGGAGAUGCCAAGUAGUGCUUCAAAGCUUCGGACCACAAUCAAACACAGCAUCCUUUUCAACAGAAGCAGAAGCUCAUCUGAAUAUGCUCAUGGAUGCUGACAUCAACAUUUAAUCAUCUCCUCACUCAUCCAGGAAGAGGGGGAGAUCAGUUACUACUGUACUUUAAUGUGUUCAACCAAAUCACCAUGUUACAAAAAUAGCAAGCUGCCAUAAUAAAAAAUAAGGCUCCUCUAUCCAGCACCAGAUAGCAUCAUUUUACUUUCAAGCCUAGAAAUUGCACACUUGUAUAUAAACCAAUCGAAGAUGAGGAUUGAGAGUUCAUCUUGGUGGAUUUUUCCUUUGAUGAAUAUGAAGUGUCCUUCCUUAUCUUUUUUGAUGACUUUUAAUUGAAAAUUGAUUUUAUUUGAUAUUAGAAUGGCUACUCCAGCUUGCUUCUUCUGACCAUUUGCUUGGAAAGUUGUUUUCCAGCCUUUCACUCUGAGGUAGUGUCUGUCUUUGUCUCUGAGGUGUGUUUCCUGUAGGCAGCAGAAUGCAGGGUCCUCAUUGCGUAUCCAGUUUGUUAAUCUAUGUCUUUUUAUUGGGGAGUUGAGGCCAUUGAUAUUGAGAGAUAUUAAGGAAUAGUGAUUAUUGCUUCCUGUUAUAUUCAUAUUUGGAUGUGAGGUUAUGUUUGUGUGCUUUCAUUCUCUUUGUUUUGUUGCCAAGACGAUUAGUUUCUUGCUUCUUCUAGGGUAUAGCUUGCCUCCUUAUGUUGGGCUUUACCCUUUAUUAUCCUUUGUAGUGCUGGAUUUGUAGAAAGAUAUUGUGUAAAUUUGGUUUUGUCAUGGAAUAUCUUGGUUUCUCCAUCUAUGUUAAUUGAGAGUUUUGCAGGAUACAGUAACCUGGGCUGGCAUUUGUGUUCUCUUAGGGUCUGUAUGACAUCUGUCCAGGAUCUUCUGGCCUUCAUAGUUUCUGGCGAAAAGUCUGGUGUGAUUCUGAUAGGUCUGCCUUUAUAUGUUACUUGACCUUUUUCCCCUACUGCUUUUAAUAUUCUUUCUUUAUUUUGUGUGUUUGGUGUUUUGACAAUUAUGUGACGGGAGGUGUUUCUUUUCUGGUCCAAUCUAUUUGGAGUUCUGUAGGCUUCUUGUAUGCCUAUGGGUAUCUCUUUUUUUAGGUUAGGGAAGUUUUCUUCUAUGAUUUUGUUGAAGAUAUUUACUGGUCCUUUGAGCUGGGAGUCUUCACUCUCUUCUAUACCUAUUAUCCUUAGGUUUGAUCUUCUCAUUGAGUCCUGGAUUUCCUGUAUGUUUUGGACCAGUAGCUAUUUCCGCUUUACAUUAUCUUUGACAGUUGAGUCAAUGAUUUCUAUGGAAUCUUCUGCUCCCGAGAUUCUCUCUUCCAUCUCUUGUAUUCUGUUGGUGAAGCUUGUAUCUACAGCUCCUUGUCUUUUCUUUUGAUUUUCUAUGUCCAGGGUUGUUUCCAUGUGUUCUUUCUUGAUUGCUUCUAUUUCCAUUUUUAAUUCCUUCAACUGUUUGAUUGUGUUUUCCUGGAAUUCUUUCAGGGAUUUUUGCGAUUCCUCUCUGUAGGCUUCUACUUGUUCUCUAAGGGAGUUCUUUAUGUCUUUCUUGAAGUCCUCCAGCAUCAUGAUCAAAUAUGAUUUUGAAACUAGAUCUUGCUUUUCUGGUGUGUUUGGAUAUUCCGUGUUUGCUUUGGUGGGAGAAUUGGGCUCCGAUGAUGCCAUGUAGUCUUGGUUUCUGUUGCUUGGGUUCUUGCGCUUGCCUCUCGCCAUCAGAUUAUCUCUAGUGUUACUUUGUUCUGCUAUUUCUGACCGUGGCUAGACUGUCCUAUAAGCCUGUGUGUCAGGAGUGCUGUAGACCUGUUUUCCUGUUUUCUUUCAGCCAGUUAUGGGGACAGAGUGUUCUGCUUUCGGGCGUGUAGUUUUUCCUCUCUACAGGUCUUCAGCUGUUCCUGUGGGCCUGUGUCUUGAGUUCACCAGGCAGGUUUCUUGCAGGGGAAAAGUUGGUCCUACCUGCGGUUCCAAGGCUCAAGUUUGCUCGUGGGGUACUGCCUAAGUCCUCUCCGCGGUGGCAGCAACCGGGAAGAUCUGCGCCGCUCUUUCCGGGAGCCUCCGUGCACCAGGGUUCCAGAUGGCCUUUGGUGUUUUCCUCUGGCGUCUGGAUGUGCACAAAGUGCAGUCUCUUCUGGUUUCCCAGGCGUGUCCGCCUCUCUGAAGGUUUAGCUCUCCCUCCCACGGGAUUUGGGUGCAGAGAACUGUUUAUCCGGUCUGUUUCCUUCAGGUUCCGGCGGUGUCUCAGGCACAGGGGUCCUGCCGCUCCCGGGCCCUCCCCUACGGGAACCCAGAGGCCUUAUACAGUUGCCUCUUGGGCCAGGGAUGUGGGCAGGGGUGGGCAGUGUUGUUGGUCUCCUCCGCUCUGCAGCCUCAGGAGUGCCCACCUGAUCAGGCGGUGAGGUCUCUCUCCCACGGGGUUUGGGAGCAGAGAGCUGCUGCGGGCCGGGAUCCUCUGCAAAAUUUUAUUUUGAAUUUCUUGACCUUAGACGCCAAGGGACUCUCUGCUAUUGAGUGUCUAUGGCACCCUACAACUCAGCAUACUUAUGCCUAGGUAAAAUGGAAGGAGUCUAUGACAGGCCAAUGGUAUGGCCUCAAUCUGUUACUAAUAUGGGGCAGAGGACAGGUCUGUGUUUGUUUCCACAGGAUGCUAAAGGUGUGUGGUGGCUUCCAGAGUGACUGGUGAGACAUGCUGAUGCUGGGACAAAGAAUGAUGCUGACUGUGAGCUUGCUGAGUACUCUAACAAUGGUGGCAGGGAAGCUGUAUUCGGCAUAUGUUCCUGACCGGCCUUUGCCUGCCUGUAUCCCAGACUGGACAAGCUGCCUUGUCUCAAGCUUUUAGACCUUGUGGGACAGAGAACAUGGAGGCUGUGGAAACUGACUUUAAAAAAUUAAUCAAAUAGAGAAGUUGUUAUAAUGACCUUUCUCCUUCCUUUAAUAUGACCAGUUAUUCUGACUCAAUCAUGGACGAGUCUGGGAAUCAAACACUGGACAAAAGGAGAUAUUCCUAGGUCUUUGGCAAUCAAGUCCUGGACAUUUUCAGAAACAUAUUUGGAAGUUAGCUGUGGUUCUUUAUGAAGAUAUGUUAGCAAUAGAUAAAACUGGGAGAAGAUCUAGAUUUAGAACAAUGACAGGAUCUGGAUUUUGAACAAAUGUCAAUACAUGUGCCAAGGCUCCUCAUCUUUUGUUAAUUGGCCACGUUAAAAUUACUUUUGUUUAUUCUACCAUAUUUAAUGUAAAUUGCAUUGAUUGUACACUUUCUAAUUGUGUUAGUGUGCUGAAAUCUGGCAUGUUGUUUAUGGUGGUCUAUUGGCCAGCUUGUGUUUCAUUGCCUGUGAGUAUUAGAGGACCUUGGUAUUCUGAAAAAUGCUGGCAGAUACUGGAAGAAGCGAGUCCAGCCUUAAGCAGAAGCAAGAGGGCAGUGGGCAUGACUGCUGCCAGCGUACCAGCUUUGAUUACACUAAUAGCUAGCACUGCUUCUGCAACUGCUGAGUGUGAAGAUGAGGACGGCGCUCAGAGCAACGCGUUCUGAUGCUCUUUGCCUAUACUCAAAGUACUGGAGAGGAGGAUCAGCAUUUGAGAGUAUGAAGCCAUCAAGUGUCAUGCUAAAUGCCAAUAAGUUUGUGCCUAAAAUUUACAAUGACAAUUGCUACAACUGGGAGCAAAGUCAAAGACACUUGCAGGGUAUUUGGCAUAAUUCUAACACUUCUCUGGAUGUUUUAACUGUGCAACAACGAUAUAAUAAAUUUAAAGAAUGCUGCUCUGCUGAGUUUUAAUCCUGCGGAUACUGCUGAUAAAAUUAUUCAUGGCUUAAGGUCAGUAUUUUCAUCUUGGUCAAGCUUCAAGAAUGCACAUAUAGCUUGAUCAUGUUGGUCCUUCUUGUCCUAGGAAUACUUUUAUUCCUGCCCAUUGGGAUAAAACUUGCCUUUAAUAAUAUCAACAUGUUGGUGGCCAAAACACAUGCGAAACUAAAAAUGGAUCCCCAGACAGAGUCAUUAAUAUAACAGGCUGGCAGUCAAAGAUGGGUAAGAUUCUGCACAGAGCCUUACCCACCUAAGACAAAAGCGCAUUGCUCUUGAUAAUGCGUAUUCUAGGAUGAGUAAGUAAGACAGUUUUGUCAGAAUAUCCUAAGACAGACGCAGUCUUGUUUAUGAAAUAAAAAAGGGGAGAUGUGGAGAGCUCUUGGUGCUACUUCUAGAAAUUUGGCAAGAAUUGGACAUUAGGUCAGGACAAGAAAGUAGACUCAGAUAAUAUUUACAUUUGGGCUAACACAAAGUUCAAGGUAAACACAAGAUAGGAAUUUUGUGGCAUUCCUUUUAUCUUGGUCAUCCUGAUAAGCCCCUAGGCACAGUGACUACCGGACUUUGUUUAUCCUCACUCCUUCCUUCAAGAUCCUGUGGACUAAUUGAGCUGGCUUGUUCAAUCAACCUCUUCGAGGCUCGUUUUCCUUUUCUCCAAAAGGAAGCUGGCUAUUGAUAGGAGGGAGGUGAACAGGAGGGUGGUGAACAGAGGAGGAAAAAAAUCUACAAUAAAAACCUUAAUUGUAAAAAAAUUUUCUUUUUAAAGGGUUAAGGGUUAUCAUGCACACAUUUAAGAACUUACAAAGAUAGGCCUGGGAGAAGCAUAAUUCUCUUCAAAGAGUUUCUGGAGCGCAAACAAGGCUGCCUGUUAAGAAAAAAAAAAUAAAGAAUAUCUUUAUUUCUGAGAGAGAUCAAAGGUCAAUCUAACUGCCUGAUCAGAACCAUCCUUUCCCAAGACUUCUUUAGGUAGGAUACACUCAAAGCUGAGGAAAGGAAAUCUCCCCUAAAUGCAUAACUGUAAUGCCCAUUUCUGGGUGUCCACUGCACAUGGUAACAAAUGCUCAAUUGAAGAAAAGAGCUCAGUACUGGAGCCCUUGCCUAGCAUGAUGAACAAGGGCCUAGGUUCAAGCCCCAAACCAUUAAAAUAAUCUGAGGUCACGUAACAAGCUAAUUAUUUGCUUUGAAGAACUAAAGAGUUAACUUUUCUUUCUUUCCUCCUUCAAUCAAAAUAAACAUAUAUACAUAAAAAUGCCCUGCCUAUUCUGUCAGCCUUUUGUACACAUCAAAGGUAGGUAUGUGAACCAAAGAUGUGUAUCACUAGGAAAGACCAUCAUGAACUUGGCUUGUGAAACAGUUUCACUCUUAAAAGUGCAAGCUUUAAGUUCUAAGCAAUGAUCUUCGAUCUCUUCUUCCUUUCAUCUUCAGAGUCACUGACUUUGUUUGACAUGGAAAGUUCGUAAGUAGACAAUACCGAAUGUUGGAUGUGGUGAUGCACACCUGUAACUCUAAUACACGAGAGGCUGAAGUUAGAAGGACAUCAAGUUUGAGGCCAGCCUAUGAGACCAGUUCUAGGUCAGCCUGGGCUACAGAGCAAGACUCUGUUACAAAAAUAACAAAACUGAAAUUCUUAUUUUAUAAUGAAAAAAAAGUGAUCCUUAAAAUCUUCUUUGUUUUGCUGUUGUUGGUUGACUGGUUGGUUGUUGGUUUUGUUUUCCUUUUUUUUCAAGACAGGGUUUAACCGUGUAGCCCUAGACCAGGAUAGCCUCAAAUGCCGAGACUCACCUGCCUCUGUCUCCCAAGUGGGAGGCUGGGCCCUCCCUCAUCAACCACAGUCUUCCUUACAGGCCAAUCUAAUGGAAGCAUUUUCUCAACUUAAGUUCCCUAUUGCCAAAGGACCCUGGCUUGUACCAGGUUGACAAAAACUAAUCAGGACAGGUAAUCUUAUGUAUGUUCAUUUCACUGAGAAAUAAUAAACUGUUUAGGGCUGGAGAGAUGGCUCAAUGGUUAAUGCACAGGCUGCUCUUUCAGACGAUCCAGGUUCAAAUACCAAUACCCAUAUGACUUCAUAACCCUCUGUAACCCAGUUCCAGGUAUCCUACAUCCUCUCUGGCCUCUGUGGGCAUCAGGCAUGUAUGUGGUAUACAUGCAUACAUGCAAGCAAAAAUACCUAAACACAUGAAAUGAAAAAGAUUAAAAGAAAUGUUCUCUCUACUUCAUACUCCAAAAUAAAUAAAUUCCAAAUAUACCAAUAGGGAAACUUCUAAUAUAAAAAGCCUACAAGACAAUUCAUUGGGUAAAGGUGCCUGCUGCCCACACGAAUAACCUAAGCUUGGUCAAGAGACCACAUGGUAGAAACAGAGGCCUGACUCCCCAAGCUGUCCACUGACACUGUCUGCUGCCUGCUGAUACACUGUGGCACUUAAAUACCCACACACACACACACACACACACACACACACACAUGUAUACAAAGUAUUCUAAACAUGAAAGAUAGUUCAGUUGAUGAAACACUUGCCUUAGAAGCAUGAGGACCUGAGUUCAACACCCAGAACUCACUUAAAAGCUGGGUGUGGUGGUGCACAUGUAAUCCCAGUUCUGGGGAGGCAGAAACAGAAGGAUCCCUGGGGCUUGCUGGCUAGCCAGUCUAACUGGACAGAUCCAGAACAAUGAGAAAUCUUAAAGGAAGUGGCUAGCAUCCUUUACAGAUUUAAGGAUUCCUGAGGAUGACACAAAGCUUACCUAACAUCUUCCACAUGCCCCAUACAUGCGUAUGUACAUAUAUAAACUCAUACAUAUAGCUGCAUAAAAAAUGUAGACCGCAGAUGUAAAAACUUCUAAAUUCAGUAUUUUUCCACCAAAUUAAAAAAAAAAAACCUAACCAAAUUAAAAAAAAAAACCUAAC